GCGGGUGUGGCGAAACUGGUAGACGCACCAGAUUUAGGUUCUGGCGCCGCGAGGCGUGGGGGUUCGAGUCCCUCCACCCGCACCA
This 85-nucleotide transfer RNA is filed under the name Jannaschia aquimarina. RNAcentral describes it as "tRNA-Leu". It matches the Rfam family "tRNA". Rfam says of the family: Transfer RNA (tRNA) molecules are approximately 80 nucleotides in length. Their secondary structure includes four short double-helical elements and three loops (D, anti-codon, and T loops). The record is from RNAcentral. Lineage: Bacteria; Pseudomonadati; Pseudomonadota; Alphaproteobacteria; Rhodobacterales; Roseobacteraceae.